RNAcentral lists this ribosomal RNA (253 nucleotides) under uncultured bacterium. RNAcentral describes it as "partial 16S ribosomal RNA". It matches the Rfam family "Bacterial small subunit ribosomal RNA", at positions 524 to 776 of the family's 1533-position model. The record is from RNAcentral.
UACGUAGGGUGCGAGCGUUGUCCGGAAUCAUUGGGCGUAAAGCGCGUGUAGGCGGCCCGGUAAGUCCGCUGUGAAAGUCGGGGGCUCAACCCUCGGAUGCCGGUGGAUACUGUCGGGCUUGAGUACGGAAGAGGCGAGUGGAAUUCUCGGUGUAGCGGUGAAAUGCGUAGAUAUCGAGAGGAACACCUGCGGCGAAGGCGGGUUGCUGGGCCGACACUGACGCUGAUGCGCGAAAGCCAGGGGAGCGAACGGG